This 470-nucleotide ribosomal RNA is filed under the name uncultured bacterium. Its description in RNAcentral is "SSU rRNA". It matches the Rfam family "Bacterial small subunit ribosomal RNA", at positions 26 to 518 of the family's 1533-position model. The record is from RNAcentral.
AGGACGAACGCUGGCGGCGUGCUUAACACAUGCAAGUCGAGCGGAAAGGCCCUUCGGGGUACUCGAGCGGCGAACGGGUGAGUAACACGUGAGCAAUCUGCCCCUAGCUUCGGGAUAGCUCCGGGAAACCGGAAUUAAUACCGAAUACGACGACGGCCGACAUCGGCUGUUGUGGAAAGUUUUUCGGCUAGGGAUGAGCUCGCGGCCUAUCAGCUUGUUGGUGAGGUAACGGCUCACCAAGGCGACGACGGGUAGCCGGCCUGAGAGGGUGACCGGCCACACUGGGACUGAGACACGGCCCAGACUCCUACGGGAGGCAGCAGUGGGGAAUAUUGCACAAUGGGCGCAAGCCUGAUGCAGCAACGCCGCGUGAGGGACGACGGCCUUCGGGUUGUAACCUCUUUAGCAGGAGAAGCGAAAGUGACGGUACCUGCAGAAAAGACACCGGCUAACUACGUGCCAGCAGCCGC